GUUGACAGCUUGUUAAAAUGUCAUGUCUUCUCUUUCAUUAGUAUGAAAAAAAGAGAGGUGACGUGAUACUAAUUUCAGUCUUAACUUUAACAGUCUUU
Molecule: long non-coding RNA, 98 nt
Organism: Aricia agestis (brown argus)
Lineage: Eukaryota; Metazoa; Arthropoda; Insecta; Lepidoptera; Lycaenidae
Exons: 3
Source: RefSeq, a predicted model, not a curated record